Molecule: ribosomal RNA, 498 nt
Filed under: uncultured bacterium
Lineage: Bacteria
Description: partial 16S ribosomal RNA
Rfam family: Bacterial small subunit ribosomal RNA
Source: RNAcentral
AUUGAACGCUGGCGGCAUGCCUUACACAUGCAAGUCGAACGGUAACAGGUCUUCGGAUGCUGACGAGUGGCGUACGGGUGAGUAAUACAUCGGAACGUGCCUAGUAGUGGGGGAUAACUACUCGAAAGAGUGGCUAAUACCGCAUGAGAUCUACGGAUGAAAGCAGGGGAUCGCAAGACCUUGUGCUACUAGAGCGGCCGAUGGCAGAUUAGGUAGUUGGUGGGAUAAAAGCUUACCAAGCCGACGAUCUGUAGCUGGGCGGAGAGGACGAUCGGCCACACUGGGAGUGAGACACGGCCCAGACUCCUACGGGAGGCAGCAGUGGGGAAUUUUGGACAAUGGGCGAAAGCCUGAUUCAGCAAUGCCGCGUGCAGGAUGAAGGCCUUCGGGUUGUAAACUGCUUUUGUACGGAACGAAAAGCCCCGGGUUAAUACCCUGGGGUCAUGACGGUACCGUAAGAAUAAGCACCGGCUAACUACGUGCCAGCCGCCGCCGUAA